Molecule: ribosomal RNA, 230 nt
Filed under: uncultured bacterium
Lineage: Bacteria
Description: partial 16S ribosomal RNA
Source: RNAcentral
CUGCUGCCUCCCGUAGGAGUCUGGGCCGUGUCUCAGUCCCAAUGUGGCCGGUCACUCUCUCAAGCCGGCUACUGAUCGUUGCUUUGGUAGGCCAUUACCCUGCCAACUGGCUAAUCAGACGCGGGGCCAUCGUAUGCCGAUAAAUCUUUUCACACCAUGCCAUGCAGCAUUGUGUGCUUAUGCGGUAUUAGCAGUCAUUUCUGACUGUUGUCCCCCUGCAUACGGCACGG